Molecule: microRNA precursor, 85 nt
Filed under: Triticum aestivum (bread wheat)
Lineage: Eukaryota; Viridiplantae; Streptophyta; Magnoliopsida; Poales; Poaceae
Description: MIR9657 microRNA precursor family
Rfam family: MIR9657 microRNA precursor family
Source: Rfam by way of RNAcentral
GCGGCGGCGCGGCUCCGUUGGCCGGAGGAGCGUGCAGCGGACUCGCACCGCGCGCUGCUCCGUCGAACGGCGCCGACCACGUUGC